AGUGAACGCUGGCGGUAGGCCUAACACAUGCAAGUCGAACGGCAGCACAGUAAGAGCUUGCUCUUACGGGUGGCGAGUGGCGGACGGGUGAGGAAUACAUCGGAAUCUACUUUUUCGUGGGGGAGAACGUAGGGAAACUUACGCUAAUACCGCAUACGACCUACGGGUGAAAGCAGGGGAUCUUCGGACCUUGCGCGAUUGAAUGAGCCGAUGUCGGAUUAGCUAGUUGGCGGGGUAAAGGCCCACCAAGGCGACGAUCCGUAGCUGGUCUGAGAGGAUGAUCAGCGACACUGGAACUGAGCCACGGUCCAGACUCCUACGGGAGGCAGCAGUGGGGAAUAUUGGACAAUGGGCGCAAGCCUGAUCCAGCCAUACCGCGUGGGUGAAGAAGGCCUUCGGGUUGUAAAGCCCUUUUGUUGGGAAAGAAAAGCAGCAGGUUAAUACCCCGCUGUUCUGACGGUACCCAAAGAAUAAGCACCGGCUAACUUCGUG
RNAcentral lists this ribosomal RNA (492 nucleotides) under uncultured bacterium. RNAcentral describes it as "partial 16S ribosomal RNA". It matches the Rfam family "Bacterial small subunit ribosomal RNA", at positions 29 to 507 of the family's 1533-position model. The record is from RNAcentral.